AGCCCCGAGGUGUUCCACGUCAGAUUGCAAAUCUGAAGAGGCGAGUUGAUUCUCGCCGGGGCUU
This 64-nucleotide transfer RNA is filed under the name Pelobates cultripes (western spadefoot toad). Its description in RNAcentral is "transfer RNA-Cys". It matches the Rfam family "tRNA". Rfam says of the family: Transfer RNA (tRNA) molecules are approximately 80 nucleotides in length. Their secondary structure includes four short double-helical elements and three loops (D, anti-codon, and T loops). Lineage: Eukaryota; Metazoa; Chordata; Amphibia; Anura; Pelobatidae. The record is from RNAcentral.